RNAcentral lists this ribosomal RNA (892 nucleotides) under Parastagonospora nodorum. Its description in RNAcentral is "SSU rRNA". It matches the Rfam family "Eukaryotic small subunit ribosomal RNA", at positions 61 to 965 of the family's 1831-position model. Lineage: Eukaryota; Fungi; Ascomycota; Dothideomycetes; Pleosporales; Phaeosphaeriaceae. The record is from RNAcentral.
UAGUAUAAGCAAUUAUACCGUGAAACUGCGAAUGGCUCAUUAAAUCAGUUAUCGUUUAUUUGAUAGUACCUUACUACUUGGAUAACCGUGGUAAUUCUAGAGCUAAUACAUGCUGAAAACCCCAACUUCGGGAGGGGUGUAUUUAUUAGAUAAAAAACCAACGCCCUUCGGGGCUUCUUGGUGAUUCAUGAUAACUUUACGGAUCGCAUGGCCUUGCGCCGGCGACGGUUCAUUCAAAUUUCUGCCCUAUCAACUUUCGAUGGUAAGGUAUUGGCUUACCAUGGUUUCAACGGGUAACGGGGAAUUAGGGUUCGAUUCCGGAGAGGGAGCCUGAGAAACGGCUACCACAUCCAAGGAAGGCAGCAGGCGCGCAAAUUACCCAAUCCCGACACGGGGAGGUAGUGACAAUAAAUACUGAUACAGGGCUCUUUUGGGUCUUGUAAUUGGAAUGAGUACAAUUUAAACCUCUUAACGAGGAACAAUUGGAGGGCAAGUCUGGUGCCAGCAGCCGCGGUAAUUCCAGCUCCAAUAGCGUAUAUUAAAGUUGUUGCAGUUAAAAAGCUCGUAGUUGAACCUUGGGUCUGGCUGGCAGGUCCGCCUCACCGCGUGUACUUGUCCGGCCGGGCCUUCCUUCUGGAGAACCUCAUGCCCUUCACUGGGCGUGUUGGGGACCAGGACUUUUACUUUGAAAAAAUUAGAGUGUUCAAAGCAGGCCUUUGCUCGAAUACGUUAGCAUGGAAUAAUAGAAUAGGACGUGCGGUCCUAUUUUGUUGGUUUCUAGGACCGCCGUAAUGAUUAAUAGGGACAGUCGGGGGCAUCAGUAUUCAAUUGUCAGAGGUGAAAUUCUUGGAUUUAUUGAAGACUAACUACUGCGAAAGCAUUUGCCAAGGAU